This 429-nucleotide ribosomal RNA is filed under the name Gemmatimonadota bacterium. RNAcentral's name for it is "Gemmatimonadetes bacterium partial 16S ribosomal RNA". It matches the Rfam family "Bacterial small subunit ribosomal RNA", at positions 355 to 776 of the family's 1533-position model. The record is from RNAcentral. Lineage: Bacteria; Pseudomonadati; Gemmatimonadota.
UAGGGAAUCUUCGGCAAUGGACGAAAGUCUGACCGAGCAACGCCGCGUGAGUGAAGAAGGUUUUCGGAUCGUAAAACUCUGUUGUUAGAGAAGAACAAGGACGUUAGUAACUGAACGUCCCCUGACGGUAUCUAACCAGAAAGCCACGGCUAACUACGUGCCAGCAGCCGCGGUAAUACGUAGGUGGCAAGCGUUGUCCGGAUUUAUUGGGCGUAAAGCGAGCGCAGGCGGUUUCUUAAGCCUGAUGUGAAAGCCCCCGGCUCAACCGGGGAGGGUCAUUGGAAACUGGGAGACUUGAGUGCAGAAGAGGAGAGUGGAAUUCCAUGUGUAGCGGUGAAAUGCGUAGAUAUAUGGAGGAACACCAGUGGCGAAGGCGGCUCUCUGGUCUGUAACUGACGCUGAGGCUCGAAAGCGUGGGGAGCAAACAGG